ACUUAUGUGCACAGUGGCAGUAUCGUAGCCAAUGAGGUUUAUCCGAGGCACGAUUAUUAUUAAUUGAAAACUUUUCCAGUGUUCAAGCCGUUGGAUCUGAGACUCAAACUACACUGUUGGCCAUGUAGGAUCCAACAACCUUAACGACCACACCACCAGCUG
Molecule: small nuclear RNA, 162 nt
Organism: Tupaia belangeri (northern tree shrew)
Lineage: Eukaryota; Metazoa; Chordata; Mammalia; Scandentia; Tupaiidae
Gene: U4
Rfam family: U4 spliceosomal RNA
About the family: U4 small nuclear RNA (U4 snRNA) is a component of the major U2-dependent spliceosome. The structure of U4 snRNA from yeast and human has been reported.
Source: Ensembl